This 75-nucleotide transfer RNA is filed under the name Candidatus Woesearchaeota archaeon. RNAcentral describes it as "tRNA-Ile". It matches the Rfam family "tRNA". Rfam says of the family: Transfer RNA (tRNA) molecules are approximately 80 nucleotides in length. Their secondary structure includes four short double-helical elements and three loops (D, anti-codon, and T loops). Further hydrogen bonds mediate the characteristic L-shaped molecular structure. tRNAs have two regions of fundamental functional importance: the anti-codon, which is responsible for specific mRNA codon recognition, and the 3' end, to which the tRNAs corresponding amino acid is attached (by aminoacyl-tRNA synthetases). tRNAs cope with the degeneracy of the genetic code in two manners: having more than one tRNA (with a specific anti-codon) for a particular amino acid; and 'wobble' base-pairing, i.e. permitting non-standard base-pairing at the 3rd anti-codon position. RNAcentral also lists the same sequence under 1 other name. Lineage: Archaea; Nanobdellati; Candidatus Woesearchaeota. The record is from RNAcentral.
GGGCCUGUAGCUUAGCCUGGUUAGAGCGCUGCUCUGAUAAGGCAGAGGUCGGCUGUUCAAAUCAGCCCAGGCCCA